AUCUUUCUAGUACCAAUUCAGUACAAGUGACUUCCAAUCACCUAGUCUUGGUUAAACUCCAGGGAAAGAUA
This 71-nucleotide transfer RNA is filed under the name Betadevario ramachandrani. RNAcentral's name for it is "tRNA-Gly". It matches the Rfam family "tRNA". From Rfam's summary of the family: Transfer RNA (tRNA) molecules are approximately 80 nucleotides in length. The record is from RNAcentral. Lineage: Eukaryota; Metazoa; Chordata; Actinopteri; Cypriniformes; Danionidae.